CGCCGAGCUUAAGCAUAUCAAUAAGCGGAGGAGAAGAAACUUACGAGGAUUCCCCUAGUAACGGCGAGCGAACCGGGACCAGCCCAGCUUGAGAAUCGGGGGCCCGUGCCUCUCGAAUUGUAGUCUGGAGAAGCGUCCUCAGCGACGGACCGGGCCCAAGUCCCCUGGAAAGGGGCGCCGGGGAGGGUGAGAGCCCCGUCCGGCCCGGACCCUGCCGCACCACGAGGCGCUGUCGGCGAGUCGGGUUGUUUGGGAGUGCAGCCCCAAUCGGGCGGUAAAUUCCGUCCAAGGCUAAAUACCGGCGAGAGACCGAUAGCGAACAAGUACCGCGAGGGAAAGAUGAAAAGGACUUUGAAAAGAGAGUCAAAGAGUGCUUGAAAUUG
Molecule: ribosomal RNA, 383 nt
Filed under: Vibrio anguillarum
Lineage: Bacteria; Pseudomonadati; Pseudomonadota; Gammaproteobacteria; Vibrionales; Vibrionaceae
Description: partial 23S ribosomal RNA
Rfam family: Eukaryotic large subunit ribosomal RNA
Source: RNAcentral